CAUUUUUCGGAGAGGAUGGGAGCUGGCACUGGAGAGGCCAGGGGCGUCCCGCGUCUCGGCAGAAAGGAAAGAAAAUUCACCCUGGCCACAAGAGCUGUAGAUUUAUCGAUUUAUUUAUUUAUAUUUAUUUUUACGACAUUCAAAUAUCCUGUGAGCUCCAGUUUAAAGUGCCCAAAUACAUUGCAUGCAAAUCAGCUACAUUGAGACUGAGCUCGUGAAGACAGUUUGAAUGACACGUGUGAGACAGAACUGGACAUCUAGAUAGAUGCAAGAGAGAGAGAGAAUUGGGGAUGAAUAUUUGGACGUGGUUUAAUACUCCUCUGGGAGAAUUUUGGGGGGUCGGGGAUGUAGGUACCUUAGGCUUCUCCCCAGGCAAAGGCAUCUUUCACAUGCGAGCAACCCCAAACUCCACCUAAGGAGCGAAAGACGUUUGAAAAAAUAUAUCGUUCUGGAGAGGGGGAGGGCAUUUAGAUUCUGUUUCAGAAAAGAAACUGAUGAAAACACAGGAGAAAACCUGCUGCAUUUGUAUUCCCACAGGAAAAAAUAUUUUAAAGAAAGAAUUCCUACAAAGAAAAUAGUUGGUUAUUUCCUGCCAGCUCUGCCAAUUCUGGGUGGGAAGGAAAAUAGACAAGGCAAUAUACUUCAAUCAAUCAAUCAAUCAAUCAAUCAAAAUUGCUCUGUAGUGCUUUGUGCUUCAACCAUGAACAAGAAUACUGGAAUUCUCACAACAGAGCCUGCUCACUGGGCCUGUGCAAGUUGGCAGCGAUCCGAUCCGGCUUCAGAUCUGGCCGCUUCAGAUGGCAAUGAUCGGAUUGGACAAAAACCAACAAAGUUAUAUAUAUUUAACUGAUUUCCCCAUUAUACCCUAUGGCCGGAUCUCCAAGGCAGCUCUGAAGACUUUGGAAGCUCCAAACCGCUUCGGGAAGCCUAAUGAAGCCAGCGCUUCGACCCAGACAUGCUGCUUCGGACCCCGAAGUGUCCAAAGCUUCUCCAGAUCCAAAGCUCUGUCUGAAGCCUCACACAGCCCUGUUAUUUACCAAUAUAGGGAUGAGAAAUAAUUCAAAGUUAUAAUUAAUAUUUUAUAUAUCACUUUAAAUUAUAGGAAUAAAAAUGUACAUAGGGAUCACAAAAAUAUCAGCAUUAAAUAACUGUUAUGACAAAGUACUGAGAUAACAUAGUUUGUCUUAUACUCAGAAAAGGAGACACAAUUACUAUGUAAUAUAUUGAUGGUAAAAUGCUACUUUCAAAAUGUUAUAGUAUAACAAGAAAUAAAAACAGAAAGAACAUGAAGCUGUACUGCUCAAUAACAAAGACUUUACUUUUUGGAAACAUGUACCUAAAUUCUUAACCAUAAUAAUGUCAAAGAAAUCUUGCUGGUAAAAUUGUUCAACAGGCUACAGAAUAAUCUCACAGACUUACUAGAAGGGCGAUUUGAAAACUCUCUUUCUCAAUAUAUAUUAUUCAUUUUAUAUCAUAUAACUAUUAAUAGUAUAUACUAUAUAUAGAAUUAUAUAUAAUACUAUACUUAUAUAUACAUAUGCUGGUGCUUUUAAAAUUGGAAAAUGUGUGCAUGUGUGGUAGGGAGAGCUUAAGGGAAAAAAAACAAAAAUGUCACCAUUCAAUUUUGUCCUAAAUAAAUAAAUUUUGUCCUAAAUAAAUAAAUAAAUAAAUAAAUAAGAAAGAAAAAAGAAAAACUUGAAAAUCAAAAAACUGUUUUGGCUUUUAGCAAUCAAAUCUCAGAAUUUUUUAGUUUGUAGCCCCAAAUUAUUGUUGUUCAGUUGCCUAAAAAUGAAUAUUUUUGGUGUUCUAUUUUUGAAAGAAAAUACCCCAAAUUUCUUUAUGUGGAAAUAGGUAAUUUUCCAAUCAGCUUUAUCAUCUUGUGCUAUAACAAACUGCACUUUUAUUAACUUUGUUGUAAAACUGAAGCCUGGCAGAUAGCACCACAGAUUCUUAAAAACAGAAGACAGCAUUUGCCAUUGGUAACAUUGGGAAUAUAACAGAAUGACAUGACUUUGGGCACAGGUCUGGCAGGAAUUCAGUUUCAGGGAGACAGUCUCUCCUCAGGCAGCUCAAAGCCCAAUCUGAAAAGACAUUGAAACUGCUUCAUCGUAGAAUGAGCUAGGUGGCCAUGGACAUUCUUCAGUUAACAUGCAGUGCACAGGAGAGUCCCUGCGUGGUCCUACCAAGGGCCAUCAGAAGGUUAACAAGCUAUGAAGCCUCCCAUAUGCUGGUACAGAAAUAAGUAGGGCUGUGUGAAGCUUUGGGUACUGAUUCGAUUCGGAGGAGAUUUGGCCCGAUUCGGUGGUUGAACCUCCAAAUCUGAAUCAAAUCAGGGGACCAAUAAAAGGGUCUGAAUUGAUUCGAAGCUCUCCAAAUCUUUGGAAAAGAUUCAGAGAGCUUUGAUGAUUCAGACAGUCGCCAGUGCCUGCAGCAGUGAGCUAGUAAG
Alligator mississippiensis (American alligator) is the source of this 2446-nucleotide long non-coding RNA. RefSeq lists it as uncharacterized. NCBI's taxonomy places the organism in Eukaryota, Metazoa, Chordata, Crocodylia, Alligatoridae. The transcript has 4 exons. The record is from RefSeq and is a predicted model, not a curated record.